AGCAGCCGCGGUAAUUCCAGCUCCAAUAGCGUAUAUUAAAGUUGUUGCAGUUAAAAAGCUCGUAGUUGAAUUUCGGGAUCAGUUGGUCGGUCGUGCCUCGGUACGUACUGGUCAAAUUGAUUCCUACCUUCUGACGAACCACGAUGUCAUUAAUUUGGUGUCGCGGGAAAUCAGGACUGUUACCUUGAAAAAAUUAGAGUGUUUAAAGCAGGCUCGCGCUUGAAUACAUUAGCAUGGAAUAAUGAAAUAGGACGUUUGAUUCUAUUUUGUUGGUUUCUAGGAUCGACGUAAUGAUUAAUAGGGAUAGUUGGGGGCAUUAGUAUUCAAUUGUCAGAGGUGAAAUUCUUGGAUUUAUUGAAGACUAACUACUGCGAAAGCAUUUGCCAAGGAUGUUUUCAUUAAUCAAGGACGAAAGUUAGGGGAUCGAAGACGAUCAGAUACCGUCGUAGUCUUAACCAUAAACUAUGCCGACUAGGGAUCGGAUGAUGUUAAUUUUUUAAUGACUCAUUCGGCGCCUUAC
RNAcentral lists this unclassified non-coding RNA (520 nucleotides) under uncultured Glomus. RNAcentral describes it as "SSU rRNA". It matches the Rfam family "Eukaryotic small subunit ribosomal RNA", at positions 569 to 1091 of the family's 1831-position model. Lineage: Eukaryota; Fungi; Glomeromycota; Glomeromycetes; Glomerales; Glomeraceae. The record is from RNAcentral.